CUUGCUGUGUGUGUGUGUGUGUGUGUGUGUGUGUGUGUGUGUGUGUGUUGGGGGAGCAGUUUGUGAACUGACACAAAUGCAUGCACU
RNAcentral lists this microRNA precursor (87 nucleotides) under Pteropus vampyrus (large flying fox). RNAcentral's name for it is "miRNA (ENSPVAG00000026625.1)". The record is from RNAcentral. Lineage: Eukaryota; Metazoa; Chordata; Mammalia; Chiroptera; Pteropodidae.